Molecule: long non-coding RNA, 480 nt
Filed under: Sorghum bicolor (sorghum)
Lineage: Eukaryota; Viridiplantae; Streptophyta; Magnoliopsida; Poales; Poaceae
Description: long non-coding RNA (SBIC_LNC005145)
Source: RNAcentral
GUGCCGAUGGGAAAGCAACCGAAUAUGACCAAGUCCAGAAGAGAUUGUAUGUUCGUGCCGAUGAAUAGUGCCGAUGGUUGCCGAUGGCUGUAACAAGUGGUCUGCCGAUGCUUAUGAAAAAAGAUGCAAGGAUUGCCGAUUGGCUCAUGACAGUGUAUCGAUCGGUUGUGGAUGAUAGUUUAAUGUUUUCCUUAGUUAUUAGAGUUCGUCUUGUAUACGGAUUCCGUUUAAUUUGGAAUUUGAGUCCUAGUCGUGUCUGGUUGUAACUCUUUGGACAGGGUAUAAGUGUAGACCCUAGGGCAAUAUAAUGAAAUAUCUAUCAAUCAAUCAAACACAAGUUUUUACACAUAUUCCAUCAUCUACUUUUUCGACGACUUGGUCAUAUUUUCUUUUUACUACGAGUUCUUAGGAAUUCGUCGAGUCAAACUUGACACAGAUUCAAGAUCAAGAUCAACAUGUCGAACACCGAUUUUGACUUGG